GGAGUUUGGAACGUGUCUCAGUUCCAAUGUGGGGGACCUUCCUCUCAGAACCCCUACUGAUCGUCGCCUUGGUGGGCCGUUACCCCGCCAACAAGCUAAUCAGACGCAUCCCCAUCCCUUACCGCUGAGCUUUAUUCACCGUCAGAUGCCAUCUAGUGAAACUAUCAGGAGUUAAUCCGGUUUUCACCGGGUUAUUCCCCAACCGGGGGCAGGUUGCAUACGUGUUACUCACCAGUGCGCCGGUCGCCGGCGGAGGUAUUGCUACCUCCCCGCUGCCCCUCGACUUGCAUGUGUUAAGCCUGUCGCUAGCGUUCAUC
RNAcentral lists this ribosomal RNA (317 nucleotides) under uncultured Prevotella sp. RNAcentral's name for it is "partial 16S ribosomal RNA". Lineage: Bacteria; Pseudomonadati; Bacteroidota; Bacteroidia; Bacteroidales; Prevotellaceae. The record is from RNAcentral.